CUUUCAAACCCUCUCUUUCACGCUUCCUUUAACUUAAUUAUUCCCAACUCCCUUUCUUGAGUAGUUGAACAAUUUAUUGCCCUCUUCUUCAACCUCCCCCCUUUCAAUUCUUUUUUAAUUCCCAUUUCCACAUUUCAAUUCCCAUUCCCAUUCCAUUCUCUUCUCUCCCCUUUGGUCACUUUCAAUCCCUUUGGUUGGUAGUGCUUGUGAGACUCUAUAAUGGAGUUUUUUUUGUUUCUAUUAAUGGGUUGUUUUGUUUGUAUGUUAGAUAGAUGAUUGCACGAGGUAUUGGUGCGGUUCAAUGAGAAAGCGAUCAAGGGUAUUUCUUUACCCUACUUUUUGAUUGAGCCGUGCCAAUAUCACGUGUUAAUGGAGUUGGGACACCUUUGUGCCCCAUCACCAUUAUUCAGAUUUGGGUGUUUUUUUUUUUUUUUAAUCUUCAUUCUCCCCUGGUUGAGGAUGCCCUUACUGCACAAGUUCCUGGGGAGAAAUCCUGAAUUUAAGAGUGACUUAAAGAUGAAGAUGCCUAGGAAUGGAGGGGCACAAGAAUCUGUACCAUAAACUGUGUUUGCUUUCCACUUUUGCACAUUAAUGGCGUAUAGUGUUAUAGAAAGUUUUGCUUUUUUUUUUUUUUUCUUUGCCCCUCUCUGGGUCUCUGCAAUUUUCAAAAUGUGCACAUGAAGUAAAGGCAAAAGGUCUAUAGUAAAACCAAUACCCUGCAAAUCUAUAUGAUUUUCUUUUCAUCUUUCUCA
Ipomoea nil (Japanese morning glory) is the source of this 752-nucleotide long non-coding RNA. RefSeq lists it as uncharacterized. NCBI's taxonomy places the organism in Eukaryota, Viridiplantae, Streptophyta, Magnoliopsida, Solanales, Convolvulaceae. The transcript has 2 exons. The record is from RefSeq and is a predicted model, not a curated record.